Molecule: ribosomal RNA, 407 nt
Filed under: uncultured bacterium
Lineage: Bacteria
Description: partial 16S ribosomal RNA
Rfam family: Bacterial small subunit ribosomal RNA
Source: RNAcentral
AUUGAACGCUGGCGGCAGGCCUAACACAUGCAAGUCGAGCGGAGCGGCGGACGGGCGAGUAAUGCCUAGGAAUCUGCCUGGUAGUGGGGGAUAAAGUCCGGAAACGGGCGCUAAUACAGCAUAAUAGCAGACGGGUGUAGGUCGGAUUAGCUAGUUGGUGGGGUAAGGGCCUACCAAGCUGACGAUCCGUAACUGGUCUGAGAGGAUGAUCAGUCACACUGGAACUGAGACACGGUCCAGACUCCUACGGGAGGCAGCAGUGGGGAAUAUUGGACAAUGGGCGAAAGCCUGAUCCAGCCAUGCCGCGUGUGUGAAGAAGGUCUUCGGAUUGUAAAGCACUUUAAGUUGGGAGGCGUUACCAACAGAAGAAGCACCGGCUAACUUCGUGCCAGCAGCCGCGGUAAUAC